RNAcentral lists this unclassified non-coding RNA (346 nucleotides) under soil metagenome. RNAcentral describes it as "partial contains 5.8S ribosomal RNA, internal transcribed spacer 2, and large subunit ribosomal RNA". The stretch from base 1 to 119 matches the Rfam family "5.8S ribosomal RNA", at positions 35 to 154 of the family's 154-position model. The record is from RNAcentral.
GAUGAAGAACGUAGCGAAAUGCGAUACGUAAUGUGAAUUGCAAAUUCAGUGAAUCAUCGAGUCUUUGAACGCACAUUGCGCCCCCUGGUAUUCCGGGGGGCAUGCCUGUCCGAGCGUCAUUGCUGCCCUCAAGCACGGCUUGUGUGUUGGGCCCCGUCCUCCGAUCCCGGGGGACGGGCCCGAAAGGCAGCGGCGGCACCGCGUCCGGUCCUCGAGCGUAUGGGGCUUUGUCACCCGCUCUGUAGGCCCGGCCGGCGCUUGCCGAUCAACCCAAAUUUUUUAUCCAGGUUGACCUCGGAUCAGGUAGGGAUACCCGCUGAACUUAAGCAUAUUAAUAAGCGGAGGA